UCUGCCUCAGGCAUGGCCAGCAAAAAAUCCAUUGUCAGCGCCCAAUCCCUGUGCUCGCUCAACAAUGGAUGGGCCAAUGGCGUUUCGGCCUCACAAUGGAUUCGGCCAAUCACGGCGCCGCAGGGCAAACCGGCCAAAUCUCGCGGCAAGCGGCCAAAUCUCGCGGCAAGUCUCGCGAAGGUUGGUACGACGUACGCAACGUACACUUCAACAAUGGAUGGGCCAAUGGUGCGUCGGCCUCACAAUGGAUUCAGCCAAUCGUUACGCCGCACAAGAUCACGAACACGGCUACGCAUGACAUUGGACGUAAGCUCUUUUCUACAACGAAGACAACGUGUCAACCAUGAGCACAAAACCAAAGAGCCACAAGGCUAUGAGCGAUAAGGAGUGGAUGGCAAGGCUGAGGGCGUUUGCCAGCUCUGGGGUUUGGCCUUCUGGAGGAGGCAACAGACCAGCCCCAAGGCAGAAGAAGUGGUUCGCCUUCUAUCAGAAGAUUGAGAAAUGCCCCAUGCAGGCCCGUGGACAGACCACGCUCUUUGGAGGGUCCAUGGCCGCCAUGGCCUGUGAUUGUG
Molecule: long non-coding RNA, 572 nt
Organism: Pseudoliparis swirei
Lineage: Eukaryota; Metazoa; Chordata; Actinopteri; Perciformes; Liparidae
Exons: 3
Source: RefSeq, a predicted model, not a curated record